CAGCAGCCGCGGGAAUACGGAGGGUGCAAGCGUUAAUCGGAAUUACUGGGCGUAAAGCGUGCGUAGGCGGUUCGCUAAGUCUGUUGUGAAAGCCCCGGGCUCAACCUGGGAAUGGCAAUGGAUACUGGCGAGCUAGAGUGUGUCAGAGGAUGGUGGAAUUCCCGGUGUAGCGGUGAAAUGCGUAGAGAUCGGGAGGAACAUCAGUGGCGAAGGCGGCCAUCUGGGACAACACUGACGCUGAGGCACGAAAGCGUGGGGAGCAAACAGGAUUAGAUACCCCUGUAGUCCCUGUCUCUUAUAC
RNAcentral lists this ribosomal RNA (301 nucleotides) under uncultured bacterium. Its description in RNAcentral is "partial 16S ribosomal RNA". It matches the Rfam family "Bacterial small subunit ribosomal RNA", at positions 509 to 807 of the family's 1533-position model. The record is from RNAcentral.